RNAcentral lists this long non-coding RNA (824 nucleotides) under Marmota monax (woodchuck). Lineage: Eukaryota; Metazoa; Chordata; Mammalia; Rodentia; Sciuridae. The record is from RNAcentral.
GUAAAACAUCAUUUUAUAUAUAAUAAAAUAUAUAUUAAUAUACCCUAAAUAAGUAGCAAAAACUGGUUUUUAAUAUGUUGUUUUAUAAUAAUAAUACAGAUGAUUCAUUAGAGUGUGUUUUCUUAAACAAUAAUUUUAGAGCACAAAUAUGUGCAACAAGUCUGCCUUAUAUCUAUGAGGAAAUUGCCAUUGAAGGUGUCAAGUAACUCAUUCUAAGGAAGUAAAGUUAUAGAAUGCUCCCAAAGGUUUUGAUCUUGUCAUAAUAAAAAUCCUAAGUUUCAAGUAUAUCCUCAAUUUGUUAGUCUGUUUUGUGUUGAAGUACUAAAAUACCUGAAACUGGGACUCAGUAAAGAACAGAGGCCAAUUUAGUACAUAGUUUUGGAGGCUUAAGAGGAUGGUGUGAGCAUCUGCGUGGGUCUGGUGAGGGUUUUACUAUGGAUGGCUUCACAGUGAUAGGAAGAGAUUACAUGGUGAGACAGGAUGCAGGAUACUGAGGCAGAGAAGAACCAGAUAUGCUCUUCUUACAGCAACUGCUCUCAAGCGAAUUAAACUACUCUUACAAAAUGUGACCCACUUCCAUAAAACACCAGCAUUAAUCCAUUUAUGAGGGUGAAGCCCUCAUGAACUAGUUACCCUUUACUAAGCCACAUACUCUAAAGGUCCCACUACUUAAAUACUGCCCUACUGGGGACCACGUUGUGAUUCUGUCUGGAAUGAACCAUAUCCAAAUCAAAACUAUAGCAUUGUGGACCUGGUCCCCAAAUAUCAGGUUCUUCUCACAAAGCAAAAUAUAAUUCUUCUAUCCUCAAUAGUUCUGAAGUCUC